This 550-nucleotide ribosomal RNA is filed under the name uncultured Glomeromycotina. RNAcentral describes it as "SSU rRNA". It matches the Rfam family "Eukaryotic small subunit ribosomal RNA", at positions 548 to 1098 of the family's 1831-position model. The record is from RNAcentral. Lineage: Eukaryota; Fungi; Glomeromycota.
UUGGAGGGCAAGUCUGGUGCCAGCAGCCGCGGUAAUUCCAGCUCCAAUAGCGUAUAUUAAAGUUGUUGCAGUUAAAAAGCUCGUAGUUGAAUUUCGGGAUCAAUGUUUCGGUCAUGCCGUUGGUAUGUACUGAUAUUAUUGAUUUCUCACCUUCUAAAGAACCGUAAUGCCAUUAAUUUGGUGUCACGGGGAAUUAGGACUGUUACCUUGAAAAAAUUAGAGUGUUUAAAGCAGGCUCACGCUUGAAUACAUUAGCAUGGAAUAAUGAAAUAGGACAUCCGAUUCUAUUUUGUUGGUUUCUAGGAUCGAUGUAAUGAUUAAUAGGGAUAGUUGGGGGCAUUAGUAUUCAAUUGUCAGAGGUGAAAUUCUUGGAUUUAUUGAAGACUAACUACUGCGAAAGCAUUUGCCAAGGAUGUUUUCAUUAAUCAAGAACGAAAGUUAGGGGAUCGAAGACGAUCAGAUACCGUCGUAGUCUUAACCAUAAACUAUGCCGACUAGGGAUCGGAUGAUGUUAAUAUUUUAAUGACUCAUUCGGCGCCUUACGGGAAAC